RNAcentral lists this ribosomal RNA (442 nucleotides) under uncultured bacterium. Its description in RNAcentral is "bacterial SSU rRNA". It matches the Rfam family "Bacterial small subunit ribosomal RNA", at positions 958 to 1402 of the family's 1533-position model. The record is from RNAcentral.
AACGCGAAGAACCUUACCCAGGCUCGAAAUGCAGAGGAUAGCAUCAGAGAUGAUGUGUUUCGAAAGGACCUUUGUAUAGGUGCUGCAUGGCUGUCGUCAGCUCGUGCCGUGAGGUGUUGGGUUAAGUCCCGCAACGAGCGCAACCCUUAUCAUUAGUUGCCAACACGUGAAGGUGGGGACUCUAAUGAGACUGCCUAGGUUAACUAGGAGGAAGGUGAGGAUGACGUCAAGUCCGCAUGGCCUUUAUGUCUGGGGCUACACACGUGCUACAAUGGUCGGUACAGAAGGCAGCAAGACCGUAAGGUGGAGCAAAUCCUAGAAAGCCGAUCUCAGUUCGGAUUGUAGUCUGCAACUCGACUACAUGAAGUUGGAAUUGCUAGUAAUGACGUGUCAGCAACAACGUCGUGAAUACGUUCCCGGGCCUUGUACACACCGGACACGC